UGGGUAAACUCAGGCUAAUACCGCAUAAUGUCUGAGGACGAAAGCUGGGGACCUUCGGGCCUGGCGCUUUAAGAUUAGCCUGCGUCCGAUUAGCUAGUUGGUGGGGUAAGGGCCUACCAAGGCGACGAUCGGUAGCUGGUCUGAGAGGAUGACCAGCCACACUGGAACUGAGACACGGUCCAGACUCCUACGGGAGGCAGCAGUGGGGAAUAUUGGACAAUGGGGGCAACCCUGAUCCAGCAAUGCCGCGUGUGUGAAGAAGGCCUGAGGGUUGUAAAGCACUUUCAGUGGGGAGGAGGGUUGAUAGGUUAAGAGCUAAUUAACUGGACGUUACCCACAGAAGAAGCACCGGCUAACUCCGUGCCAGCAGCCGCGGUAAUACGGAGGGUGCGAGCGUUAAUCGGAAUUACUGGGCGUAAAGGGUGCGUAGGUGGUUGAUUAAGUUAUCUGUGAAAUUCCUGGGCUUAACCUGGGACGGUCAGAUAAUACUGGUUGACUCGAGUAUGGGAGAGGGUAGUGGAAUUUCCGGUGUAGCGGUGAAAUGCGUAGAGAUCGGAAGGAACACCAGUGGCGAAGGCGGCUACCUGGCCUAAUACUGACACUGAGGCACGAAAGCGUGGGAGCAAACAGGAUUAGAUACCCUGGUAGUCCACGCUGUAAACGAUGUCAACUAGCUGU
RNAcentral lists this ribosomal RNA (678 nucleotides) under Legionella pneumophila. RNAcentral describes it as "bacterial SSU rRNA". It matches the Rfam family "Bacterial small subunit ribosomal RNA", at positions 149 to 823 of the family's 1533-position model. Lineage: Bacteria; Pseudomonadati; Pseudomonadota; Gammaproteobacteria; Legionellales; Legionellaceae. The record is from RNAcentral.